RNAcentral lists this ribosomal RNA (405 nucleotides) under uncultured bacterium. RNAcentral describes it as "partial 16S ribosomal RNA". It matches the Rfam family "Bacterial small subunit ribosomal RNA", at positions 30 to 526 of the family's 1533-position model. The record is from RNAcentral.
AUUGAACGCUAGCGGGAUGCUUUACACAUGCAAGUCGAACGAGUGGCGGACGGGUGAGUAAUAUAUCGGAACGUGCCCAGUAGCGGGGGAUAACUACUGGACAUAGUGGCUAAUACCGCCUACUAUUGGAGCGGCCCAUAUCGGAUUAGCUAGUUUGUGUGGUAAAGGCUCAACAAGGCAACGAUCCGUAGCUGGUUUGAGAGGACGACCAGCCACACUGGGACUGAGCCACGGCCCAGACUCCUACGGGAGGCAGCAGUGGGGAAUUUGGUACAAUGGGUGAAGUCCUGAUCCAGCCAUCCCGCGUGUAUGAGAAGGCCUUCGGGUUGUAAAGUACUUUCGGGAGAGAGGCGGUAUCUACAGAAGAAGCACCGGCUAACUACGUGCCAGCAGCCGCGGUAAUUC